CUUUUAAAUUCUACCUUCCCAUCUCAAGCUUAUCACUAAUCUUCUCUUUGCAGCUCACAACCAAAGAAUGCAGGAUCCCAAGUAUGCAUAUCCUUAUCCUGCUCAAGCCUUGCUGCUCUUUGCUGCUGCUUUCUUAUUGAUGAGUGUUGCUGUGAUCCAUCUAUCCUAUUUAUCUGCUGAUAUCACUGCUCAAUCUUGAAGUAUUUGCUGCCUUUAAACCCACUUGAAGUUUCUGCUGUGAAGCUGUAAUCAAGCUUGAAAGUGUUUCAGCAUCUUUAUUUAGAGAAACUUCCAUAAAAUUAUGUUCUAUUGUGGUUAGUAGUGAUAGUCCCAACAACAUUAAUAAGUAGUUUCAUGGAAGAA
This is a long non-coding RNA of Musa acuminata AAA Group (dessert banana), 363 nucleotides long. RefSeq lists it as uncharacterized. The transcript is spliced from 2 exons. NCBI's taxonomy places the organism in Eukaryota, Viridiplantae, Streptophyta, Magnoliopsida, Zingiberales, Musaceae. The record is from RefSeq and is a predicted model, not a curated record.